CUCCACUCCUCACAAUCUGUCUAAAUUUAACUCACCAUUGAAGGCCCUGGCUGUCGAAAACAGCUUUAUGUCGACUAAUCCAGGCAGAAACACAGAGUGCUGAUAGGGGAAGAGUGUCCUGCUUGCAUUUAUGGGAUGAGAAAUGGAGGAGGGCACAUUGUUGUCAAGUCCUGGUGAGAACAACUGGACUCAAAACCAGGCCAUGCAAUGGGGCAUCAUUAGGAUGGUGGGAGAGGUGCUCCUGUUGCCAGCACAGCCCAUUGCGCUUCAACAUAAAGGGGAGCAGGCAGUCGAAGUCUGACAUCUGUUUCAUAGAUAGCUGCAAAGCUGACAUGUGAAUGUGUGAGUUUAUAACACGCUAAAUAUUUAAAACAUCUCCAGGAGGAGCUUUCAGCAGGCAGUAGCCACUGAACGAGAAUGAAUGUGCCAUCAAUUCCCAGUGUACAACAUGCGUAUAAUAUUUAUAUUAACUACAAUAAACCUUGAAUUACUUCCUCUGGAUUUGAAUUGUUCCUCUGUAAGUAAGCGGAAAUAUCAGGACCCUCAUCCUACGCCAACUCCUAUCAGUGAGACUCUUUCCAGGGAU
This is a long non-coding RNA of Coturnix japonica (Japanese quail), 586 nucleotides long. RefSeq lists it as uncharacterized. The record is from RefSeq and is a predicted model, not a curated record. NCBI's taxonomy places the organism in Eukaryota, Metazoa, Chordata, Aves, Galliformes, Phasianidae.